UAUGCUGGCGGUGUGCUUAGCAUGCAGUCGAACGGUACAGGUCUAGCUUGCUAGACGCUGACGAGUGGCGAACGGGUGAGUAACACGUAGGUAUCUACCUCGUAGUAGGGAAUAGCCCAUCGAACAGGUGGGGUAAUACCCUAUAUACCCCUUGGGGAGAAAAGGCUUCGGCCGCUAUGAGAGGAACCUGCCGCGCUAUCAGCUUCUGUUGGUUGGGUGUAACGGCCUACCAAGACUACGACGGCUAGCCCGAUGUAGAGAGCACUGAUCUGGCCGCAAGGCUACUGAGACACGGAGCCUACAUCUACGGAUGGCAGACAACCGGGAAUUUAUGCCGCACAUUGGACGAAAAGUCUGACGCAGCUGACACCGCGUGUGGGAUGACACUCUUCGGAGCGUAAACCACCUGUGGCGAGGGAGGAAGUCUCUGACAGUACCUCGCUAGAAAGCACCAGCUAACCACGUGCCAGAAGCUUCGGUAAUACGUGGGGUGCAACGCAUUAUCCGGAUUUAACUGGCCGCGUACAAGGGUCCGUCGGCACGUCCCUAUAAGUCGACUCGUCUAACGACCCGAGGCUCAACUUCGGAACAGACAAUCGAAACUGUGGGGACUACGAGUCUUAUCGAAGGAAAACUAGAACUACUUGCGUGGACAGGGGUGAAAUCCGUAGAUAUCAACGCAGCGAAUACCGUGCAG
RNAcentral lists this ribosomal RNA (697 nucleotides) under uncultured bacterium. Its description in RNAcentral is "bacterial SSU rRNA". It matches the Rfam family "Bacterial small subunit ribosomal RNA", at positions 32 to 716 of the family's 1533-position model. The record is from RNAcentral.